This 148-nucleotide ribosomal RNA is filed under the name uncultured bacterium. RNAcentral describes it as "partial 16S ribosomal RNA". It matches the Rfam family "Bacterial small subunit ribosomal RNA", at positions 346 to 509 of the family's 1533-position model. The record is from RNAcentral.
AGGCAGCAGUGGGGAAUAUUGCGCAAUGGGGGCAACCCUGACGCAGCAACGCCGCGUGAUUGAAGAAGGUCUUCGGAUUGUAAAAAUCUUUUAUCAAGGACGAAGAAGUGACGGUACUUGAUGAAUAAGCUCCGGCUAACUACGUGCC